CCACCACCUCCCCCUAACUAUCAAAAAGCUCUUGCUUAAAAAAAACAUGGAUUGGAGAUAAAAAAUAAAAUGAUACUCUUUAAAUAAAUAAAAUAUCCCUCUGCUUCCUGUGAAGGGGAGUUGAGAAAUGGAGUGGUAGGUGGAGAGGCGUGUGUUUAAGACAGAGUUUGUUGUUGUUUAAGACAAAAGAUAGAAUGUUUUUAUGCCAAUAAGAAUGAUUUGGCACAGUGCUGUGAAGGGGUCCAGAACAGAGCACUGUAGCAUAAAAAUUAUUUUCAUCUGAAGGCACUUGAGAAUAGGCUUUUUUCUGAAUUCCCUUAUCUACUUAAAAGCAGAACCUCCCAAAAAAACUCAGCUGUCAUAAAUCCUCUCCACAGGAGUUUUGGGAGUUUUGCAACCAGGAAAGAUUGUCAAGACAUUGUCACAAACUAUCUUGUCUCUCAUCCAUUCGCCUGAUAGAUUUAUUUUUCCUAAAAGUCAUUUGUUUUCCCAUAAGUGUCUUUCCUCUCCUCUUCCCAUGCUAAAGUGGUAUACAAAACCCCAAUUCUAACCUCCUCCUUGAAUCAUGUUUCUGUGAACUCUUGUGCAUACAUAACUAAAAAUCUGUCUUUUCUCUUACUAAUCUGUUUUUUGUCUGUUUAAUACACAGAACUCCAAUUACUUAUUGUAAUAGGGCAGAGGAAAAGUUUUUCCCCCUGAAAAGCUAGAAAAUGAUUCUGUAAGAGUGUCACAGAGCUGACCCCUAGAGCUCUGGAGAAGAACUUGCCUUACAGGGCAGAGAACUACUUGCUGUUUAAAAAUCAGCUCCAACAGGGGGAAGAGGGAAUAAUCGUAGGAGUGAAGUUCUCAGAAGUCUGGAAGGGCAGGAAGGGAUGGAAUCCAGAGCUAGUGCGGGAGAUGCCCUGAGGUAGGAGCAGGAACACUUCUUUCACAGAAACAACAGAGGAGGCAGUGAGCCUGGGAUCAGGUGCAGAGAGUUUGAUCGAUUUGGAAUGCUUGGCUUCUUGGUGCAAGCGCAGAGUAGAGAGCAGCAUUUAACGAGGGCUGGAUGUUCACCAGUUUCCCAUGGAGGAGAUGCACUGUAUGCACUGGAAUUACGUUGCUCAUACCACAAAUGAGGAAACCGCAGAAACCCAUUGGGGCUUGGAUAAGCGAGUCUCAACUGAGGGCUAAAAUGGCCCAGAGGAUGAAACAGAGGCCUCCCCAAGAAGGGAUGACCAGGAUCUGCAGGACAACGUAUACUUUGAAAAAA
This 1252-nucleotide long non-coding RNA is filed under the name Equus asinus (donkey). Its description in RNAcentral is "lncRNA (ENSEASG00005023752.1)". The record is from RNAcentral. Lineage: Eukaryota; Metazoa; Chordata; Mammalia; Perissodactyla; Equidae.